Mastomys coucha (southern multimammate mouse) is the source of this 1779-nucleotide long non-coding RNA. RefSeq lists it as uncharacterized. The record is from RefSeq and is a predicted model, not a curated record. Lineage: Eukaryota; Metazoa; Chordata; Mammalia; Rodentia; Muridae. The transcript has 2 exons.
AGUCUCUUCCAGGCAGCCCUCCCUCCUCUCUCCUCCUCAGCAACCUUCUGUGGCCGUGAGGAGGGGCUUCGUAUAUCAUGUAAACUUCCCGUCUCCAAGACCUGGGACGGCUCUCCCUUCCACUCAACACCCGGCCUUUCUUCCUCCCUCCAGGAAGGAAGGAUCCAUUCAGAGGAAACUGCUGCACACCUGGGCCCAACCUAGAGGAAGCAGGUGGCUGGAAGCCAGGCCUUGAGGUGUGCCAGCCACAGCUGCUUCUUGGCACUCACUGUACCUACCCUCUUCUGCCAUGAUGGGUACGGACACCCUCCACUGUUCUGUUCAGGAAAUCAUGGGCUGAGCCCUCUGAAACUGUGAGCUGAAGUAAAUCACCCCUUCCCUUAUACCGUGUGAAACUAAUCCACCCUGCUCACAUGAAGGAGAACUGGACUGCACAGAAACUUGUAGAAGUAAUGACGCAUGGCUUUUGAGACAAGUUGCGAAGCAACGUUGUACCAUAUGCCCAGCUAGAUCUCCCAAGCUCUCUCUGAGAACCGCAUCCACAUGCCAUGAAAAUAUCAGUAUAGAGAAGCUGAGGCCUCCUGCCAACAGCCUAGCCCAGGCUACCACACGUGGGAAACAGACUUUUUAGAGCUGACCCCUCCCCACCCCAGUCUGUCACAAUCAAGCACCAGAUGCCAAUGGACGUUUGGAUGGCGAUCUCAUAAGAGACCUCAGACUACAGCCACCCUGCCUGACCUCUUCUGAACCUCAACCGUAAGAGACUGGGAGGUGAUAGCCAGCAGGAAGUAGGAGAAAUCUCCAGAAGUUCAAAGGGUAGCCUGAGAAGCCCAUCAACACAGCCUGAGAUCCUGAAAACACCUCCCUCAUCCAGUGACCGGAUGUCAGGAUUCAGGACUCCUGCAGCAUUUGCUACCCCAAAACUUCAAUUUUAAAAUCAGUAAGUAGAAAGCUUAGGUUCAAAUCCAACUCAGCUCCCAUGAGUCCACAUAAGCUACCCUCCGCUUGCAUGUUAAUCCUCAGGAUGAGGCUUAAAGUAAAUGCAUGAACUAUGGUGUCCUCUGAGGGACAAACGAAGGCUGAGUGUGAUGUCAUUCUGCCUGAAUUCUGACUGCUUAAUGCUGUCAAAGACGACACAGAAAAGCAUGAGACAUUAAAUGCCCACAGAUGGAAAUUCAUCUGUGUUAAGAGGUUCUGAGCUACACAUAAGGACUGACUGCUCCCAAUCUUUCCAGAAGGCUAAUGCAUGAGGUAUGUUCUCCAGGAAGGAAAACAAGGGGCUGCCAAGGUGGCCUGUGAAAAAGCCAAGAGUGUCCACCAUGUGUGAAUCAGACUGCUAACAAAGUAACAGAUGACAUCGGCCAGUGACCACACACACACACACACACACACACACACACACACAUACACACACACACACCGCCUACAACCCUAGGGCACUCACACAGGAAAAGAGCCCCUCCCUUCCCAAACCUGCUAUAACUGCAAAGAAAAUAAGCUAAAAUAAAAACACUUAACCAAAAUGGCUCCUUAACGGGUGCCCCGAAGUGUGACCGUGAAUGUCCUUCAGAGCGUCCAGAUCUCCCUGAUCAACAUCGAGAAGGUUCAAGACAGCUCAGAAGCACGUAACGGUUUAGGAAGCACUGCUCUGGAAGGUUCCCUGAGACCCCAGGAUGAGUUGUGUAAAGGAAGCCCUGACUUUGAAACUAACUCAGCCCAGAUAUGAGAGUGCUAACUGCAGCCUGUCCCACAGCGCCAACAUGGUCUGUCAAUAAUCAA